RNAcentral lists this transfer RNA (72 nucleotides) under Dictyota dichotoma. Its description in RNAcentral is "tRNA-Lys". It matches the Rfam family "tRNA". From Rfam's summary of the family: Transfer RNA (tRNA) molecules are approximately 80 nucleotides in length. Their secondary structure includes four short double-helical elements and three loops (D, anti-codon, and T loops). The record is from RNAcentral. Lineage: Eukaryota; Phaeophyceae; Dictyotales; Dictyotaceae.
GGGUAUGUAGCUCAGCAGGUAGAGCAAUGGACUUUUAAUCCAAAGGUCUUGGGUUCGAGUCCCAAUUUUCCC